This 418-nucleotide ribosomal RNA is filed under the name bacterium 14S524. RNAcentral's name for it is "bacterial SSU rRNA". It matches the Rfam family "Bacterial small subunit ribosomal RNA", at positions 1043 to 1463 of the family's 1533-position model. The record is from RNAcentral.
CAAUGGCUGGUCCAGCUCGUGUUGUGAAAUGUUGGGUUAAGUCCCGCAACGAGCGCAACCCUUAUCCUUUGUUGCCAGCGGUUCGGCCGGGAACUCAAAGGAGACUGCCAGUGAUAAACUGGAGGAAGGUGGGGAUGACGUCAAGUCAUCAUGGCCCUUACGAGUAGGGCUACACACGUGCUACAAUGGCAUAUACAAAGAGAAGCGACCUCGCGAGAGCAAGCGGACCUCAUAAAGUAUGUCGUAGUCCGGAUUGGAGUCUGCAACUCGACUCCAUGAAGUCGGAAUCGCUAGUAAUCGUAAUCAGAAUGCUACGGUGAAUACGUUCCCGGGCCUUGUACACACCGCCCGUCACACCAUGGGAGUGGGUUGCAAAAGAAGUAGGUAGCUUAACCUUCGGGAGGGCGCCUACCACGUU